UACGGGGGGGGCAAGCGUUGUUCGGAAUUACUGGGCGUAAAGGGUUCGUAGGUGGCCAACUAAGUCGGACGUGAAAUCCCUCAGCUUAACUGGGGAACUGCGUCUGAUACUGGUUGGCUUGAGUGCAGGAGAGGAACGCGGAAUUCCAGGUGUAGCGGUGAAAUGCGUAGAUAUCUGGAGGAACACCGGUGGCGAAGGCGGCGUUCUGGACUGCAACUGACACUGAGGCACGAAAGCUAGGGGAGCAAACAGG
This 253-nucleotide ribosomal RNA is filed under the name uncultured bacterium. Its description in RNAcentral is "partial 16S ribosomal RNA". It matches the Rfam family "Bacterial small subunit ribosomal RNA", at positions 524 to 776 of the family's 1533-position model. The record is from RNAcentral.